Molecule: ribosomal RNA, 570 nt
Filed under: uncultured bacterium
Lineage: Bacteria
Description: bacterial SSU rRNA
Rfam family: Bacterial small subunit ribosomal RNA
Source: RNAcentral
AGAGUUUGAUGGUGGCUCAGGAUGAACGCUAGCGGCAGGCCUAAUACAUGCAAGUCGAGGGGUAACAUGACGCUUCGGUGUUGAUGACGACCGGCGCACGGGUGCGUAACGCGUAUGCAAUCUACCUACAGCAGAGGGAUAGCCCGUGGAAACAUGGAUUAAUACCUCAUAAUACAGGGGGCCCGCAUGGGCAUAUUGUUAAAGAUUUAUCGGCUGUAGAUGGGCAUGCGUCCCAUUAGCUAGUUGGUACGGUAACGGCGUACCAAGGCGAUGAUGGGUAGGGGUUCUGAGAGGAUGAUCCCCCACACUGGUACUGAGAUACGGACCAGACUCCUACGGGAGGCAGCAGUAGGGAAUAUUGGUCAAUGGACGGAAGUCUGAACCAGCCAUGCCGCGUGCAGGAAGACGGCCUUCUGGGUUGUAAACUGCUUUUAUCAGGGAAGAAUAAGCUACUUGCGAGUAGUGAUGCCGGUACCUGAAGAAUAAGCACCGGCUAACUCCGUGCCAGCAGCCGCGGUAAUACGGAGGGUGCGAGCGUUGUCCGGAUUUAUUGGGUUUAAAGGGUGCGUA